CAUGCCGCGGAGCAACUAAGCCCGUGUGCCACAACAACUAAGCCUGUGUGCCACAACUACUGAGCCUGAGCUCUAAAGCCCGCAAGCCACAACUACUGAGCCCACAUGCCACAACUACUGAAGCCUGUGCACCUAUAGCCUGUGCUCUGCAACAAGAGAAGCCACGACAAUGAGAAGCCCGUGCAGCUCAACGAAGAGUAGCCCCCACUCUGCAACAAGAGAAGCCACUGCAAUGAGAAGCCCGUGCACCGCAACAAAGAGUAGCCCCUGCUCGCCACAACUCGAGAAAGCCCACGUGCAGCAACGAAGACCCA
Molecule: non-coding RNA, 314 nt
Organism: Kogia breviceps (pygmy sperm whale)
Lineage: Eukaryota; Metazoa; Chordata; Mammalia; Artiodactyla; Physeteridae
Source: RefSeq, a predicted model, not a curated record